This 213-nucleotide unclassified non-coding RNA is filed under the name plant metagenome. RNAcentral describes it as "partial contains small subunit ribosomal RNA, internal transcribed spacer 1, and 5.8S ribosomal RNA". The record is from RNAcentral.
UCUCCGUAGGUGAACCUGCGGAGGGAUCACUACAGGCUUGCAAAAGCUCUGAAACCACUGUUUAUCUACCUGAUGCUGCUUCGGCUGGCUGCCCCAGGGCGGGGCCGCAGUCGAAAGACGCCCGCCUAAGACCCCCAAACACUUUCGUCUUGAGAAUCUCUAAAUAAUUUAAACAAACAAAAACAACUUUCAACAACGGAUCUCUUGGCUCUG